This 986-nucleotide ribosomal RNA is filed under the name Staphylococcus haemolyticus. RNAcentral's name for it is "bacterial LSU rRNA". It matches the Rfam family "Bacterial large subunit ribosomal RNA", at positions 1945 to 2925 of the family's 2925-position model. Lineage: Bacteria; Bacillati; Bacillota; Bacilli; Caryophanales; Staphylococcaceae. The record is from RNAcentral. RNAcentral also lists the same sequence under 1 other name.
ACGGUCCUAAGGUAGCGAAAUUCCUUGUCGGGUAAGUUCCGACCUGCACGAAUGGCGUAAUGAUGGCCAGGCUGUCUCCACCCGAGACUCAGUGAAAUUGAACUCGCUGUGAAGAUGCAGUGUACCCGCGGCAAGACGGAAAGACCCCGUGAACCUUUACUAUAGCUUGACACUGAACAUUGAGCCUUGAUGUGUAGGAUAGGUGGGAGGCUUUGAAGUGUGGACGCCAGUCUGCAUGGAGCCGACCUUGAAAUACCACCCUUUAAUGUUUGAUGUUCUAACGUUGGCCCGUUAUCCGGGUUGCGGACAGUGUCUGGUGGGUAGUUUGACUGGGGCGGUCUCCUCCUAAAGAGUAACGGAGGAGCACGAAGGUUGGCUAAUCCUGGUCGGACAUCAGGAGGUUAGUGCAAUGGCAUAAGCCAGCUUGACUGCGAGCGUGACGGCGCGAGCAGGUGCGAAAGCAGGUCAUAGUGAUCCGGUGGUUCUGAAUGGAAGGGCCAUCGCUCAACGGAUAAAAGGUACUCCGGGGAUAACAGGCUGAUACCGCCCAAGAGUUCAUAUCGACGGCGGUGUUUGGCACCUCGAUGUCGGCUCAUCACAUCCUGGGGCUGAAGUAGGUCCCAAGGGUAUGGCUGUUCGCCAUUUAAAGUGGUACGCGAGCUGGGUUUAGAACGUCGUGAGACAGUUCGGUCCCUAUCUGCCGUGGGCGCUGGAGAACUGAGGGGGGCUGCUCCUAGUACGAGAGGACCGGAGUGGACGCAUCACUGGUGUUCGGGUUGUCAUGCCAAUGGCACUGCCCGGUAGCUAAAUGCGGAAGAGAUAAGUGCUGAAAGCAUCUAAGCACGAAACUUGCCCCGAGAUGAGUUCUCCCUGACUCCCUGAGAGUCCUGAAGGAACGUUGAAGACGACGACGUUGAUAGGCCGGGUGUGUAAGCGCAGCGAUGCGUUGAGCUAACCGGUACUAAUGAACCGUGAGGCUUAACCUU